UGGUUCUCUGUGCAGAGGGGAAGGAAGGAUGCGGACACAGGACUCAGGAUACAAGAGACUAAGAAGCACUGAACCACAUAGAGAAAAAGCUGAUUCCAGUUCUCCUGUGGGCACCGAGAAGUCUCUCCCUGGCAGCAUGUCUUUAAUAUAUCUAGACAGAGAAGACUUCAGGCCUAGAAGUUUAUUAGCGAGCAAUAUGUCUAGCUCUACUGCUGUCUGUUCCAACAGAGCAGACACGGCAUCCUGUGGAGACAAAUGCCCAAGGGUUCAUCUGCAUACUAUUUGCAAGAAUCAGAGCUUAGAGUGUGACCUUCCCUGUGAACUAAGACUAAAACUGAAGUCCAGAGUGGAUAAGCAUUCAGCAUGAGAAAAGUGGAGCCUCACAGCGGUGAAAUGACUGACCUGUCACCUAACUAACAAACACACCCGGUCAGUGUUUUUUCUGCCUCUUACAGCAAGCCUCCACUAUGGACCACUAUGCAGAUAGCAGUAUCUCAAUAAAGGUCAAUUUUCUAUCUUC
Molecule: long non-coding RNA, 520 nt
Organism: Hyaena hyaena (striped hyena)
Lineage: Eukaryota; Metazoa; Chordata; Mammalia; Carnivora; Hyaenidae
Exons: 4
Source: RefSeq, a predicted model, not a curated record